Molecule: long non-coding RNA, 415 nt
Filed under: Hordeum vulgare
Lineage: Eukaryota; Viridiplantae; Streptophyta; Magnoliopsida; Poales; Poaceae
Description: long non-coding RNA (HVUL_LNC000001)
Source: RNAcentral
UUAUGGAGGCAUGUGGACCAUGUUGUCUCAUGCCACAUGUGUGGGCAUUAUCAUUUAAGUUUAUUAAUUAUUCGCAGAGACCUUACAAAGUAAUACAUCAAUUAGUUUGAACUCACCAUCUUGACAACAUCUCACACUACUCCUAUCCACUUGGGGCGUGUUUGGUUGCCUAGAGUGAAUAGUAUCUGCAUUUCAGCCACAUCUCACCAGAGCGUGGUUCAGGAAAAACAUGCAACAAACCAGGAUCCGCAUGUUGUUUGGUUGCUUGCAUUGCAUCAAUGGUCACUUUAGGGCCGGUUGUUUGAUUGUCCACAUUUGUGCUUAAGGGAUGAGCAGAUGCAAACCACAAUUGUUUAGUUGCAUACACGUAUGUGUUUUGCUCACCCCAAAUGUGGUGGCCCUACCACCAUAUUAG